CCAGCGUAGUGUGUCUCCGUCAGCCACAGUAAUAUACAGUGAAACAGGUGAUAUGUCGGGAAGUAUUAACAACCAUUCUAUAGAACCUGAUGCUGUCACAGAUCAGUCUUCCAACCAGACAAACUGCUAUGUCAGCAGAAGAGUAUUUCGGGCAUGAUGACAUCCAGUUGGCCAUUGAAGAAAGUUUGUUAAGUAUUUGUUAUAGCUAGGAGAAAGACGGCUAACUGUUGAAGAAAUAGGUUGACAAAAAACUACAACCCUCAGAGCCACAAACAGUAGUUGUUCAAAGGGAGAGGCUGUUACAAAUGACAUUAAGAGUUGUUGGUAAAUCGACUUUCAACUGGUCACAGCCGCUGCGAAUAGUAUUAUCUGGUGAAGAUUGAGAUGACCAUGGAGGUCCAAAGAAAGAAUAUCUCUGGUUGCUGAGCAAAGCUGUUGCAGAGACAUCCUUGUGUGGCCCAAAGGGAAACAUGAUCUUCGUCCAUGAUGGUUGGUGAAAAGACUGAGCGCAUGACAUUUGAAAUGUAUGUUAAUUGACCAGGCCUACCGAUGAUCAACACCAUGCUGUACUCUUCCUGACUGACCAGGGCAUAA
Long non-coding RNA from Mercenaria mercenaria, 594 nucleotides. RefSeq lists it as uncharacterized. The record is from RefSeq and is a predicted model, not a curated record. NCBI's taxonomy places the organism in Eukaryota, Metazoa, Mollusca, Bivalvia, Venerida, Veneridae. The transcript has 3 exons.